CCUCAAAGUGCCAAAACGGCAAUUAAACCUGAAUACUGAGGUUUAAGUUUAGAAAAAACAACUCAUACAGUUGUCCGAACUAAUUAACAUCUCUGUGUGUGUAUUAAGCAGUUUGUGUGUGUGCUCGGCAGUCUAUCUGUAUGUGUAUUUAGCAGUCUGCCUGUGUACUUAGCAGUCUGUCUGUAUUUAGCAGACUGCUGAGUACACAGUCUGCUGAAUACACACACAGACUGCUAAAUACACA
Molecule: non-coding RNA, 244 nt
Organism: Pelobates cultripes (western spadefoot toad)
Lineage: Eukaryota; Metazoa; Chordata; Amphibia; Anura; Pelobatidae
Source: the annotation of a GenBank genome assembly